This 819-nucleotide ribosomal RNA is filed under the name uncultured bacterium. Its description in RNAcentral is "bacterial SSU rRNA". It matches the Rfam family "Bacterial small subunit ribosomal RNA", at positions 8 to 794 of the family's 1533-position model. The record is from RNAcentral.
AGAGUUUGAUCAUGGCUCAGGACGAACGCUGGCGGCGUGCUUAACACAUGCAAGUCGAACGAAAAGACGGAAAGAGCUUGCUCUUUUCAGAAUUGAGUGGCAAACGGGUGAGUAACACGUAAACAACCUGCCUUCAGGAUGGGGACAACAGACGGAAACGACUGCUAAUACCGAAUAAGUUCCAAGGGCCGCAUGGCCCAUGGAAGAAAAGGUGGCCUCUACCUGUAAGCUAUCGCCUGAAGAGGGGUUUGCGUCUGAUUAGCUGGUUGGAGGGGUAACGGCCCACCAAGGCGACGAUCAGUAGCCGGUCUGAGAGGAUGAACGGCCACACUGGAACUGAGACACGGUCCAGACUCCUACGGGAGGCAGCAGUGGGGAAUCUUCCGCAAUGGGCGAAAGCCUGACGGAGCAACGCCGCGUGAGUGAUGACGGCCUUCGGGUUGUAAAACUCUGUGAUCCGGGACGAAAAGGCAGAGUGCGAAGAACAAACUGCAUUGACGGUACCGGAAAAGCAAGCCACGGCUAACUACGUGCCAGCAGCCGCGGUAAUACGUAGGUGGCAAGCGUUGUCCGGAAUUAUUGGGCGUAAAGCGCGCGCAGGCGGCUUCCCAAGUCCCUCUUAAAAGUGCGGGGCUUAACCCCGUGAUGGGAAGGAAACUGGGAAGCUGGAGUAUCGGAGAGGAAAGUGGAAUUCCUAGUGUAGCGGUGAAAUGCGUAGAGAUUAGGAAGAACACCGGUGGCGAAGGCGACUUUCUGGACGAAAACUGACGCUGAGGCGCGAAAGCGUGGGGAGCAAACAGGAUUAGAUACCCUGGUAGU